This 310-nucleotide ribosomal RNA is filed under the name uncultured bacterium. Its description in RNAcentral is "bacterial SSU rRNA". It matches the Rfam family "Bacterial small subunit ribosomal RNA", at positions 28 to 336 of the family's 1533-position model. The record is from RNAcentral.
GAUGAACGCUAGCGGCAGGCCUAAUACAUGCAAGUCGAACGGCCCCGACACUUCGGUGUCGGGGUAGUGGCGCACGGGUGCGUAACGCGUACACAACAUACCCUUUACAGGGGGAUAGCGGCGGGAAACUGCCAGUAAUACCCCAUGUCCUUGCGAGGUGGCAUCAUUUUGCAAAGAAAGUUCAAGCGGUAAAGGAUUGGUGUGCGUCCGAUUAGCUAGUUGGCGGGGUAACGGCCCACCAAGGCGACGAUCGGUAGGGGGGUGUGAGAGCAUGGCCCCCCCACACGGGUACGUGAGACACGGACCCGGA